AUGUGAUCGUCUCUCGCAUAUCAAUAAGCGGAGGAAAAGAAACUAACAAGGAUUCCCCUAGUAACGGCGAGUGAAGCGGGAAGAGCUCAAAUUUGAAAUCUUAAAGGGUUUCCCUUUACGAAUUGUAGUUUAAAGAAGUGUUUUCCUGUUGAGGUUUUGGUAAAAGUUCUUUGGAAUAGGACAUCAUAGAGGGUGAGAAUCCCGUAUUUGACCUUUACUUUCAACUUUGUGAUACACUUUCAAAGAGUCGGAUUGUUUGGGAAUGCAGUCCAAAAUAGGGUGGUAAAUUUCAUCUAAAGCUAAAUAUUGGCGAGAGACCGAUAGCGAACAAGUACCGUGAGGGAAAGAUGAAAAGAACUUUGAAAAGAGAGUUAAACAGUACGUGAAAUUGUCAAAAGGGAAGCGUUUGACACCAGUGUUGUUUUUCUGAAAAUCAAUUAAAGAACUGUUUAUGCUAAGUUGUUUAGACUUUAUCAGCUAUCUGUUUAGUUUUGAGCUUUUCUUUAAUGCACUUUUCAGUUAACAAGUCAACAUCAAUUUCUUUGCUGUAAAAAAGCUUGAGGAAGGUGGCUUGAGAUUCGUCUUAAGUGUUUAUAGCCUCUUGCCUAUGCAGUCGGAGAGAUUGAGGUCUGCAGCGUAGAUCCUUCGGGGCUAAAUGCAUUUGUGCUAAGUUAUAGCAUUUUAUAGACAACUUGUUGACUAUGAUUUGUCUUGUAGCUUACUCGCUUAUGUUAUUUUACCUACGCUUAGGAUGUUGAAGUCAUCGUAUCGCGC
RNAcentral lists this ribosomal RNA (774 nucleotides) under uncultured Neocallimastigales. RNAcentral describes it as "partial large subunit ribosomal RNA". It matches the Rfam family "Eukaryotic large subunit ribosomal RNA", at positions 24 to 645 of the family's 3401-position model. The record is from RNAcentral. Lineage: Eukaryota; Fungi; Neocallimastigomycota; Neocallimastigomycetes; Neocallimastigales.